Molecule: long non-coding RNA, 330 nt
Organism: Vigna radiata var. radiata (mung bean)
Lineage: Eukaryota; Viridiplantae; Streptophyta; Magnoliopsida; Fabales; Fabaceae
Exons: 3
Source: RefSeq, a predicted model, not a curated record
AUAACUUUUAUUCAUUUAGGUUGUUAAAUGUUAGUUUUUUUGUCCUUUCACAGGUUGUAGGACAUUAUCUCCAUACGGUCGUUAAACUUGUCGAGAUAGUUGGAUUCAAACUGAAGGAAUUACGGGCUGGUUGCUAGUGUUAGCAAGACUACCUACAUAUAGCUUAAGCUUUUGGCCAAAGUAUUUUCCUGGGACGCAACAUGGAAAGUCCCCACUCUGUGAACAGUCCAAGAAGAACUCUCAGUUUGUCAAAGCAGCGGAGGGCAACUGUUCCCUUUUUGCACCCUGAUGACAAAACCUCUGGCUUCGGAUUGUCUGGGAUCAUGGCCC